AAUAUAUAUAAAUGAACUUAAUUUAUAUAUUGAAAAGUAUUGCAAAUAUAACAAUAGGCU
Molecule: ribosomal RNA, 60 nt
Filed under: Listeria monocytogenes
Lineage: Bacteria; Bacillati; Bacillota; Bacilli; Caryophanales; Listeriaceae
Description: partial 16S ribosomal RNA
Source: RNAcentral